CUGGCUCAGGACGAACGCUGGCGGCGUGCCUAAUACAUGCAAGUCGAGCGGAUUUGUUCCUUCGGGGAUAGGUUAGCGGCGGACGGGUGAGUAACACGUAGGCAACCUGCCUGUAAGAUCGGGAUAACUACCGGAAACGGUAGCUAAGACCGGAUAGCUGGUUUCUUCGCAUGGAGAGAUCAUGAAACAUGGGGCAACCUAUGACUUACAGAUGGGCCUGCGGCGCAUUAGCUAGUUGGCGGGGUAACGGCCCACCAAGGCGACGAUGCGUAGCCGAC
Molecule: ribosomal RNA, 278 nt
Filed under: Paenibacillus sp. UNCCL117
Lineage: Bacteria; Bacillati; Bacillota; Bacilli; Caryophanales; Paenibacillaceae
Description: 16S rRNA. Bacterial SSU
Rfam family: Bacterial small subunit ribosomal RNA
Source: RNAcentral